This 600-nucleotide ribosomal RNA is filed under the name uncultured soil bacterium S0202. RNAcentral describes it as "bacterial SSU rRNA". It matches the Rfam family "Bacterial small subunit ribosomal RNA", at positions 86 to 677 of the family's 1533-position model. The record is from RNAcentral.
GAUUACGGAGCAGCGAACGGUGAGUAAAACGUGAACAAUCUGUCCUCAACGUUCCGGAUAAUUGGCCGAAAGGCUUGUAAUACGGGCGAGGGUCCAGAAGGAGCAUUCCUUUUUGAAGGAAGGUGCGGGAUUAUCCUGCGCCGCGCGAGGAGGAGUUCGCGGCCUAUCAGUUAGUUGGUGGGGUAACGGCCUACCAAGACGACGACGGGUAGCUGGUCUGAGAGGAUGGUCAGCCACAUUGGAACUGAGACACUGUCCAGACUCCUACGGGAGGCUGCAGUCGAGAAUCUUGGGCAAUGCACGAAAGUGUGACCCAGCGACGCCGCGUGGAGGAUGAAGGUCCUCUGGAUUGUAAACUCCUUUUAAGAGGAAAGAACGCUCCUUCGGGAGCUUGACGGUACCUCUUGAAUAAGCCACGGCUAACUACGUGCCAGCAGCCGCGGUAAUACGUAGGUGGCAAGCGUUGUCCGGAUUUACUGGGCGUAAAGCGUAUGCAGGCGGAUGCCUAAGUAGGAAGUGAAAGGUUGGAGCUCAACUCUAACACUGCUCCCUAUACUGGGUGUCUUGAGUGCCGGAGAGGAAGAUGGAACUGCACGUGUA